UACGUAGGGAGCAAGCGUUGUCCGGAAUCAUUGGGCGUAAAGCGCGCGUAGGUGGCCUCAUAAGUCCGUUGUGAAAGUCAAAGGCUCAACCUUUGAAAGCCGAUGGAUACUGUGAGACUAGAGUACGGAAGAGGCGAGUGGAAUUCCUGGUGUAGCGGUGGAAUGCGCAGAUAUCAGGAGGAACACCAAUAGCGAAGGCAGCUCGCUGGGACGGUACUGACACUGAGGCGCGAAAGCGUGGGGAGCGAACAGG
Molecule: ribosomal RNA, 253 nt
Filed under: uncultured bacterium
Lineage: Bacteria
Description: partial 16S ribosomal RNA
Rfam family: Bacterial small subunit ribosomal RNA
Source: RNAcentral